UGGGGAAUUUUGGACAAUGGGGGAAACCCUGAUCCAGCCAUCCCGCGUGUGCGAUGAAGGCCUUCGGGUUGUACAGCACUUUUGGCAGGAAAGAAACGUCAUGGGUUAAUACCCCGUGAAACUGACGGUACCUGCAGAAUAAGCACCGGCUAACUCCGUGCCAGCAGCCGCGGUAAUACGUAGGGUGCAAGCGUUAAUCGGAAUUACUGGGCGUAAAGCGUGCGCAGGAGGUUCGGAAAGAAAGAUGUGAAAUCCCAGAGCUUAACUUUGGAACUGCAUUUUUAACUACCGGGCUAGAGUGUGUCAGAGGGAGGUGGAAUUCCGCGUGUAGCAGUGAAAUGCGUAGAUAUGCGGAGGAACACCGAUGGCGAAGGCAGCCUCCUGGGAUAACACUGACGCUCAUGAACGAAAGCGUGGGGAGCAAACAGG
Molecule: ribosomal RNA, 429 nt
Filed under: Acidobacteriota bacterium
Lineage: Bacteria; Pseudomonadati; Acidobacteriota
Description: Acidobacteria bacterium partial 16S ribosomal RNA
Rfam family: Bacterial small subunit ribosomal RNA
Source: RNAcentral